UAAAAUGAGAGUUUGAUCCUGGCUCAGGACGAACGCUGGCGGCGUGCCUAAUACAUGCAAGUCGAACGAAACUUUCUUACACCGAAUGCUUGCAUUCACCGUAAGAAGUUGAGCGGCGGACGGGUGAGUAACACGUGGGUAACCUGCCUAAAAGAAGGGGAUAACACUUGGAAACAGGUGCUAAUACCGUAUAUCUCUAAGGAUCGCAUGAUCCUUAGAUGAAAGAUGGUUCUGCUAUCGCUUUUAGAUGGACCCGCGGCGUAUUAACUAGUUGGUGGGGUAACGGCCUACCAAGGUGAUGAUACGUAGCCGAACUGAGAGGUUGAUCGGCCACAUUGGGACUGAGACACGGCCCAAACUCCUACGGGAGGCAGCAGUAGGGAAUCUUCCACAAUGGACGCAAGUCUGAUGGAGCAACGCCGCGUGAGUGAAGAAGGUCUUCGGAUCGUAAAACUCUGUUGUUAGAGAAGAACACGAGUGAGAGUAACUGUUCAUUCGAUGACGGUAUCUAACCAGCAAGUCACGGCUAACUACGUGCCAGCAGCCGCGGUAAUACGUAGGUGGCAAGCGUUGUCCGGAUUUAUUGGGCGUAAAGGGAACGCAGGCGGUCUUUUAAGUCUGAUGUGAAAGCCUUCGGCUUAACCGGAGUAGUGCAUUGGAAACUGGAAGACUUGAGUGCAGAAGAGGAGAGUGGAACUCCAUGUGUAGCGGUGAAAUGCGUAGAUAUAUGGAAGAACACCAGUGGCGAAAGCGGCUCUCUGGUCUGUAACUGACGCUGAGGUUCGAAAGCGUGGGUAGCAAACAGGAUUAGAUACCCUGGUAGUCCACGCCGUAAACGAUGAAUGCUAGGUGUUGGAGGGUUUCCGCCCUUCAGUGCCGCAGCUAACGCAAUAAGCAUUCCGCCUGGGGAGUACGACCGCAAGGUUGAAACUCAAAGGAAUUGACGGGGGCCCGCACAAGCGGUGGAGCAUGUGGUUUAAUUCGAAGCAACGCGAAGAACCUUACCAGGUCUUGACAUCCUUUGACCACCUAAGAGAUUAGGCUUUCCCUUCGGGGACAAAGUGACAGGUGGUGCAUGGCUGUCGUCAGCUCGUGUCGUGAGAUGUUGGGUUAAGUCCCGCAACGAGCGCAACCCUUGUUGUCAGUUGCCAGCAUUAAGUUGGGCACUCUGGCGAGACUGCCGGUGACAAACCGGAGGAAGGUGGGGACGACGUCAAGUCAUCAUGCCCCUUAUGACCUGGGCUACACACGUGCUACAAUGGACGGUACAACGAGUCGCGAGACCGCGAGGUUUAGCUAAUCUCUUAAAGCCGUUCUCAGUUCGGAUUGUAGGCUGCAACUCGCCUACAUGAAGUCGGAAUCGCUAGUAAUCGCGAAUCAGCAUGUCGCGGUGAAUACGUUCCCGGGCCUUGUACACACCGCCCGUCACACCAUGAGAGUUUGUAACACCCAAAGCCGGUGGGGUAACCGCAAGGAGCCAGCCGUCUAAGGUGGGACAGAUGAUUGGGGUGAAGUCGUAACAAGGUAGCCGUAGGAGAACCUGCGGCUGGAUCACCUCCUUU
Molecule: ribosomal RNA, 1562 nt
Filed under: Ligilactobacillus salivarius
Lineage: Bacteria; Bacillati; Bacillota; Bacilli; Lactobacillales; Lactobacillaceae
Description: bacterial SSU rRNA
Rfam family: Bacterial small subunit ribosomal RNA
Source: RNAcentral